This 571-nucleotide ribosomal RNA is filed under the name uncultured fungus. RNAcentral describes it as "eukaryotic LSU rRNA". The stretch from base 207 to 360 matches the Rfam family "5.8S ribosomal RNA". Lineage: Eukaryota; Fungi. The record is from RNAcentral.
AGUAAAAGUCGUAACAAGGUCUCCGUAGGUGAACCUGCGGAGGGAUCAUUACAAGUGACCCCGGUUUACCACCGGGAUGUUCAUAACCCUUUGUUGUCCGACUCUGUUGCCUCCGGGGCGACCCUGCCUUCGGGCGGGGGCUCCGGGUGGACACUUCAAACUCUUGCGUAACUUUGCAGUCUGAGUAAACUUAAUUAAUAAAUUAAAACUUUUAACAACGGAUCUCUUGGUUCUGGCAUCGAUGAAGAACGCAGCGAAAUGCGAUAAGUAAUGUGAAUUGCAGAAUUCAGUGAAUCAUCGAAUCUUUGAACACACAUUGCGCCCCCUGGUAUUCCGGGGGGCAUGCCUGUUCGAGCGUCAUUUCACCACUCAAGCCUCGCUUGGUAUUGGGCAACGCGGUCCGCCGCGUGCCUCAAAUCGACCGGCUGGGUCUUCUGUCCCCUAAGCGUUGUGGAAACUAUUCGCUAAAGGGUGCUCGGGAGGCUACGCCGUAAAACAAACCCAUUUCUAAGGUUGACCUCGGAUCAGGUAGGGAUACCCGCUGAACUUAAGCAUAUCAAUAAGCGGAGGA